This 780-nucleotide ribosomal RNA is filed under the name uncultured marine bacterium. RNAcentral describes it as "bacterial SSU rRNA". It matches the Rfam family "Bacterial small subunit ribosomal RNA", at positions 14 to 794 of the family's 1533-position model. The record is from RNAcentral.
UGAUCCUGGCUCAGAUUGAACGCUGGCGGCAGGCUAACACAUGCAAGUCGAACGGUAACAGGAUAGCUUGCUAUCGCUGACGAGUGGCGGACGGGUGAGUAAUACUUAGGGAUCUGCCUCUGUGUGGGGGAUAACUAUUGGAAACGAUAGCUAAUACCGCAUAAUGUCUACGGACCAAAGCGGGCUUCGGCUCGUGCGCAGAGAGGAACCUAAGCGAGAUUAGCUAGUUGGUGAGGUAAAGGCUCACCAAGGCGACGAUCUCUAGCUGUUCUGAGAGGAAGAUCAGCCACACUGGAACUGAGACACGGUCCAGACUCCUACGGGAGGCAGCAGUGGGGAAUAUUGCACAAUGGGGGAAACCCUGAUGCAGCCAUGCCGCGUGUGUGAAGAAGGCCUUCGGGUUGUAAAGCACUUUCAGUUGUGAGGAAAGUUUAGUAGUUAAUACCUGCUAGAUGUGACGUUAGCAACAGAAGAAGCACCGGCUAACUCCGUGCCAGCAGCCGCGGUAAUACGGAGGGUGCGAGCGUUAAUCGGAAUUACUGGGCGUAAAGCGCACGCAGGCGGUCUGUUAAGCUAGAUGUGAAAGCCCCGCGCUCAACGUGGGAGGGUCAUUUAGAACUGGCAGACUAGAGUCUUGGAGAGGGGAGUGGAAUUCCAGGUGUAGCGGUGAAAUGCGUAGAGAUCUGGAGGAACAUCAAUGGCGAAGGCAACUCCCUGGCCAAAGACUGACGCUCAUGUGCGAAAGUGUGGGUAGCGAACAGGAUUAGAUACCCUGGUAGU